GUCAGUUUGAAAUGGUGCCAUCUACUAGAUAACCUUGAUAGGUUGAUGCCUAGUCUGUGCCUUCGAGAUAACAAACAUCUCUUACUUUCAUCUUUAAACUCUAUUGUUCCUAAUGGCAAAAAAUCAUCACACUCCAGUAUCGACGCGGAUUUUCAGAGCCAAUAUUUGGCAGAAUGCAUGUCAGACAGUUAUUAUGGGGCCACCUUCUUAAUUUAGGGAAAACUAGUCUUGCCUUCAUCAGUAGGAUAGAAUGGUGCAAUGUUC
Molecule: non-coding RNA, 264 nt
Organism: Pelobates cultripes (western spadefoot toad)
Lineage: Eukaryota; Metazoa; Chordata; Amphibia; Anura; Pelobatidae
Source: the annotation of a GenBank genome assembly